RNAcentral lists this ribosomal RNA (502 nucleotides) under uncultured bacterium. RNAcentral describes it as "bacterial SSU rRNA". It matches the Rfam family "Bacterial small subunit ribosomal RNA", at positions 8 to 507 of the family's 1533-position model. The record is from RNAcentral.
AGAGUUUGAUCAUGGCUCAGGAUGAACGCUAGCGGCAGGCUUAAUACAUGCAAGUCGAGGGGCAGCACGGCAGCAAUGCUGGUGGCGACCGGCGCACGGGUGCGUAACGCGUAUGCAACCUACCUUUGACAGUGGGAUAGCCCCGAGAAAUCGGGAUUAAUACCGCAUAACAAUGCGAUUUGGCAUCAGAUUGCAUUUAAAACUCCGGUGGUCAAAGAUGGGCAUGCGUGACAUUAGCUGGUUGGUAAGGUAACGGCUUAACAAGGCGACGAUGUCUAGGGGUUCUGAGAGGAUGAUCCCCCACACUGGUACUGAGACACGGACCAGACUCCUACGGGAGGCAGCAGUAAGGAAUAUUGGUCAAUGGGCGCAAGCCUGAACCAGCCAUGCCGCGUGCAGGAAGACGGCCUUAUGGGUUGUAAACUGCUUUUAAUCAGGAAUAAACCCCGGUUCGUGAGCCGGGUUGAAGGUACUGGUUGAAUAAGCACCGGCUAACUCCGUG